Molecule: ribosomal RNA, 464 nt
Filed under: uncultured bacterium
Lineage: Bacteria
Description: bacterial SSU rRNA
Rfam family: Bacterial small subunit ribosomal RNA
Source: RNAcentral
UCCAGACUCCUACGGGAGGCAGCAGUGAGGAAUAUUGGUCAAUGGGCGAGAGCCUGAACCAGCCAAGCCGCGUGAGGGAGGAAGGUACAGAGUAUCGUAAACCUCUUUUGUCAGGGAACAAAGACUGGGACGCGUCCCCGGAUGAGUGUACCUGAAGAAAAAGCAUCGGCUAACUCCGUGCCAGCAGCCGCGGUAAUACGGAGGAUGCGAGCGUUAUCCGGAUUUAUUGGGUUUAAAGGGUGCGUAGGCGGGCAUUUAAGCCGGCGGUCAAAUGUCGGGGCUCAACCCCGGCCUGCCGUCGGAACUGGGUGCCUUGAGUGGGCGAGAAGUAUGCGGAAUGCGUGGUGUAGCGGUGAAAUGCAUAGAUAUCACGCAGAACUCCGAUUGCGAAGGCAGCAUACCGGCGCCCAACUGACGCUGAAGCACGAAAGCGUGGGUAUCGAACAGGAUUAGAUACCCGUGUA